GUGCUCCUUCAACACCACAUUUACCAAAAUCGGAACAACACAGAGAUUAGCAUGUCCCCUACACAAGCAUGACAUGCAAAUUAGCGAAGCAUUCAUGAUUUUU
Myotis lucifugus (little brown bat) is the source of this 103-nucleotide small nuclear RNA. The record is from Ensembl. NCBI's taxonomy places the organism in Eukaryota, Metazoa, Chordata, Mammalia, Chiroptera, Vespertilionidae.